RNAcentral lists this long non-coding RNA (471 nucleotides) under Helianthus annuus (common sunflower). Its description in RNAcentral is "hypothetical non coding rna". Lineage: Eukaryota; Viridiplantae; Streptophyta; Magnoliopsida; Asterales; Asteraceae. The record is from RNAcentral.
AUUAUGAAAGGUUGUGAGAUUACUUUAUUACCCUUCCCUCAUUAACUGUCAAACUAAGGUAGCCCAUAUUUACAAUUUGUAGAUUGUAACUGUUGGUUGGCCAGAGGUAUAUGUUGCUCCAGAGGUACAAAAAGAUGGAUAUCUUUAGGAGGAAUAGGAGAAAAAGGAAAUGGCUAAAAAAUAGACCACAUGGAUGUUGAUAAUGAAUAUAGCGGACAAGUAUAAUCAAGACAUCAAAUUUAUGUGUAUUGUUUGAUAAUUGAGGUGUGUUUUUGUAUAUUUACCGGUCGAUUAUAAGGAUUUAGCGUAAAUGAAAUUAAAAUAAAAGAAGACGAUUUCGCCUUUGAACUGAGGAAGUUUGUAAACUUGAACAUGAUUUUUUGAGUUUGAUUUCGCCCUUUAUUGUUUCGUUUUGUAAUGGGAUUAAUACGGUACUGAAACCGGGUAUAACAACCGAAAUAAAAAUUUGUG